RNAcentral lists this ribosomal RNA (545 nucleotides) under Escherichia coli. RNAcentral describes it as "bacterial LSU rRNA". It matches the Rfam family "Bacterial large subunit ribosomal RNA", at positions 1 to 586 of the family's 2925-position model. Lineage: Bacteria; Pseudomonadati; Pseudomonadota; Gammaproteobacteria; Enterobacterales; Enterobacteriaceae. The record is from RNAcentral.
GUUAAGCGACUAAGCGUACACGGUGGAUGCCCUGGCAGUCAGAGGCGAUGAAGGACGUGCUAAUCUGCGAUAAGCGUCGGUAAGGUGAUAUGAACCGUUAUAACCGGCGAUUUCCGAAUGGGGAAACCCAGUGUGUUUCGACACACUAUCAUUAACUGAAUCCAUAGGUUAAUGAGGCGAACCGGGGGAACUGAAACAUCUAAGUACCCCGAGGAAAAGAAAUCAACCGAGAUUCCCCCAGUAGCGGCGAGCGAACGGGGAGGAGCCCAGAGCCUGAAUCAGUGUGUGUGUUAGUGGAAGCGUCUGGAAAGGCGCGCGAUACAGGGUGACAGCCCCGUACACAAAAAUGCACAUACUGUGAGCUCGAUGAGUAGGGCGGGACACGUGGUAUCCUGUCUGAAUAUGGGGGGACCAUCCUCCAAGGCUAAAUACUCCUGACUGACCGAUAGUGAACCAGUACCGUGAGGGAAAGGCGAAAAGAACCCCGGCGAGGGGAGUGAAAAAGAACCUGAAACCGUGUACGUACAAGCAGUGGGAGCCUCUUU